This 400-nucleotide ribosomal RNA is filed under the name uncultured bacterium. RNAcentral's name for it is "partial 16S ribosomal RNA". It matches the Rfam family "Bacterial small subunit ribosomal RNA", at positions 338 to 755 of the family's 1533-position model. The record is from RNAcentral.
CCUACGGGUGGCAGCAGUGGGGGAUAUUGCACAAUGGGGGAAACCCUGAUGCAGCGACGCCGCGGGGGUGAAGAAGGGCCGCGACGCGUAAAGCCCUGUCAGCAGGGAAGAAAAUGACGGUACCUGAAGAAGAAGCCCCGGCUAACGACGUGCCAGCAGCCGCGGUAAUACGUCGGGGGCAAGCGUUAUCCGGAUUUACUGGGUGUAAAGGGGGCGCAGACGGCGAGGCAAGCCAGGAGUGAAAGCCCGGGGCCCAACCCCGGGACUGCUCGUGGAACGGCGUGGCUGGAGUGCAGGAGGGGCAGGCGGACUUCCUGGUGUCGCGGUGAAAUGCGUAGCUAUCCGGAGGAACCCCGGUGGCGAAGGCGGCCUGCUGGACUGCAACUGACGUUGAGGCCCG